CCUACGGGCGGCUGCAGUGAGGAAUAUUGGUCAAUGGUCGGGAGACUGAACCAGCCAAGCCGCGUGAGGGAGGAAGGUACAGAGUAUCGUAAACCUCUUUUGUCAGGGAACAAAGGCGGGGACGUGUCCCCGGCUGAGUGUACCUGAAGAAAAAGCAUCGGCUAACUCCGUGCCAGCAGCCGCGGUAAUACGGAGGAUGCGAGCGUUAUCCGGAUUUAUUGGGUUUAAGGGGUGCGCAGGCGGUCUGUUAAGUCAGCGGUCAAAGCCCGGGGCUCAACCCCGGCCCGCCGUUGAAACUGGCAGUCUCGAGUGGGAGAGAAGUAUGCGGAAUGCGCGGUGUAGCGGUGAAAUGCAUAGAUAUCGCGCAGAACUCCGAUUGCGAAGGCAGCAUGCCGGCUCCACACUGACGCUGAGGCACGAAAGCGUGGGUAUCGAACAGGAUUAGAUACCCUUGUAGUC
This 459-nucleotide ribosomal RNA is filed under the name uncultured bacterium. Its description in RNAcentral is "partial 16S ribosomal RNA". It matches the Rfam family "Bacterial small subunit ribosomal RNA", at positions 338 to 795 of the family's 1533-position model. The record is from RNAcentral.